GGAUGUGAGGGUGAUCUAUCUGUGGCAUCUGUUACCAUAUUGAUCACCAAGGUUGAAAUGGCGGCCAACCUGGCUGGCUAUACAGGUGAGCCCUUCCUCCCUCACAGCCCCAUGUACAUCCUUCCCAAAGCUCAGUGCUUGGUUGAAGAGAACUUCCUUCCCUGAUAAAAUGGUUAAGUGGAACAAGAUUUAAGGCAGUUUAUGUCCAUAAACAUAACCCAUCACAUAAACAGAACCAAAAACAAAAACCACAUGACUAUCU
This 262-nucleotide small RNA is filed under the name Cebus imitator (Panamanian white-faced capuchin). Its description in RNAcentral is "7SK RNA (ENSCCAG00000011549.1)". The stretch from base 1 to 197 matches the Rfam family "7SK RNA". Rfam says of the family: 7SK was discovered as an abundant small nuclear RNA in the mid-70s but a possible function has only recently been suggested. Two independent studies have found that 7SK RNA binds the CDK9/cyclin T complex (known as elongation factor P-TEFb). P-TEFb activates transcription by phosphorylating the C-terminal domain of RNA polymerase II. Lineage: Eukaryota; Metazoa; Chordata; Mammalia; Primates; Cebidae. The record is from RNAcentral.